This 484-nucleotide ribosomal RNA is filed under the name uncultured bacterium. Its description in RNAcentral is "partial 16S ribosomal RNA". It matches the Rfam family "Bacterial small subunit ribosomal RNA", at positions 30 to 507 of the family's 1533-position model. The record is from RNAcentral.
AUUGAACGCUGGCGGCAGGCCUAACACAUGCAAGUCGAGCGGAUGAAGGGAGCUUGCUCCUGGAUUCAGCGGCGGACGGGUGAGUAAUGUCUAGGAAUCUGCCUGGUAGCGGGGGAUAACGUCCGGAAACGGGCGCUAAUACCGCAUACGUCCUGAGGGAGAAAGUGGGGGAUCUUCGGACCUCACGCUAUCAGAUGAGCCUAGGUCGGAUUAGCUAGUUGGUGGGGUAAAGGCCUACCAAGGCGACGAUCCGUAACUGGUCUGAGAGGAUGAUCAGUCACACUGGAACUGAGACACGGUCCAGACUCCUACGGGAGGCAGCAGUGGGGAAUAUUGGACAAUGGGCGAAAGCCUGAUCCAGCCAUGCCGCGUGUGUGAAGAAGGUCUUCGGAUUGUAAAGCACUUUAAGUUGGGAGGAAGGGCAGUAAGUUAAUACCUUGCUGUUUUGACGUUACCAACAGAAUAAGCACCGGCUAACUUCGUG